UCGGCUACGGUUUUAGCGUCGGCUAAUUUUGGAACGCUAUUCCUGUAACCCUCCCGGAGCACAGAAAUAACCGGUUCCUCCUCCGUGUUUACAUUUUAUUUUGUUAGCGUAAUGUUUUCGUUUUUUUUUUCGUUAGUGAUUAAGCAUUGCGCUGUAAUUAUAUUUAAUGCACUUCUCCAUUGCCAGGGCAGGAAUCCAAGCGUUUCCAGAAGGCCGAGCUACUAAACAAGCCCUUGGUCAUAAUUAUUUCAGGACUUCUGGGUGGACAGUACAAUAAUAACCAGACCGGGCACAGAACUGAUCGAUAUAUUGAUCUCUUUAAGAAUUGUCACCGCUGCUGAAUUCAUUUGGCGCUGUAUCAGCGCACGCUCGCUGAACAUGGGUUUGUGCCAUUUUAUAUCAGGAUGAGCAAACGUCAACAAAGCGGCUUUUCAUAUCUUCCCGAAGAGUCUGAUGUUCGCUCUGCCGUGUGAUUCAUGUACCUCCAUGUCCUCCGGAGAAUCGUACGUAUGAGUACAAGUGUACAGAGGGAAAGUCGGCAGCGCAGUUUAUCUUUUAUCGGCGGUGUCAGAUGAGAGCCAUGCUGACAGCUCGCCACCCAAGGCCCGUGAACAUUUAAUCUUUCCGAACAGUAAAUGUCCAAAGAUCUCGCCUUCGAAUAUUUCAGCCCCCUCAGCGACACGCGUUUUUGUUUCGCCAUCUGAAGAUUUUAUUCGAACGUACAUGUGAGCGUGCGUAGCGGGGACGACUUACAGGUAAAGCCUCAUCCGUUGUGUCAGGAGACAAAAAUGAGAGCGACAGAAACGUUUACAGAUGAGGGAACGGAGUGUCACUACUUGGGUCGUACAAAUUGGACCAAAUAAUUUCCGGUCCAUCUAUCUAUAGCAGUGGGUCUAA
Hyla sarda is the source of this 897-nucleotide long non-coding RNA. RefSeq lists it as uncharacterized. The transcript has 3 exons. The record is from RefSeq and is a predicted model, not a curated record. Lineage: Eukaryota; Metazoa; Chordata; Amphibia; Anura; Hylidae.